GCUGCUAAGAUAACUUCUUUUGUAUCUAUGCGACUUUAUUAUAUUUCUCAGAUUUCAGUACUCUUGCAGGAGGAAUCGAUAUGCUUUAUGUCUUGAGAAUUUUUUGCUCCUUUCAUCACGCUUCUGGUACAGAAAUGAUAAAAGCCAAGAUUGAGAUUGAUACUGACAGGUUCCUAGUGAGUAUUUGACAUUGAGGAACAAGUUUUUGGAAACAAAUAGAGAAUAUAGUCUUUGACCGAGAAGUUUUAUGUUUUGUAAUCAAAUGUUGAUGUACAUUGUUUGAAUGUUAGUUCGGUACGAUAUUUUCUGAGUUGAAAUGUUGGUAGUGUGGAUUUAAUA
Long non-coding RNA from Asparagus officinalis (garden asparagus), 339 nucleotides. RefSeq lists it as uncharacterized. The record is from RefSeq and is a predicted model, not a curated record. The transcript is spliced from 2 exons. NCBI's taxonomy places the organism in Eukaryota, Viridiplantae, Streptophyta, Magnoliopsida, Asparagales, Asparagaceae.